This 253-nucleotide ribosomal RNA is filed under the name uncultured bacterium. Its description in RNAcentral is "partial 16S ribosomal RNA". It matches the Rfam family "Bacterial small subunit ribosomal RNA", at positions 524 to 776 of the family's 1533-position model. The record is from RNAcentral.
UACAGAGGGGGCAAGCGUUAUUCGGAAUUAUUGGGCGCAAAGGGCGCGUAGGCGGCUAUUCAAGUGGCGGGUGAAAUCCCUCGGCUUAACCGAGGAACUGCCUGCCAGACUGGAUGGCUUGAGACCGGGAGAGGUGAGUGGAAUUCCCAGUGUAGCGGUGAAAUGCGUAGAUAUUGGGAGGAACACCAGUGGCGAAGGCGGCUCACUGGACCGGUACUGACGCUGAGGCGCGAAAGCGUGGGGAGCGAACCGG